RNAcentral lists this ribosomal RNA (502 nucleotides) under uncultured marine bacterium. Its description in RNAcentral is "bacterial SSU rRNA". It matches the Rfam family "Bacterial small subunit ribosomal RNA", at positions 60 to 596 of the family's 1533-position model. The record is from RNAcentral.
AGUCGAACGGAGGCCCUAGCUUGCUAGGUGUCCUUAGUGGCGCACGGGUGAGUAACACGUGGGAACAUACCUUAUAGUACGGAAUAACUGCGGGAAACUGUAGCUAAUACCGUAUACUCCAGUAAUGGGAAAGAUUUAUCGCUAUAAGAUUGGCCCGCGCAAGAUUAGCUUGUUGGUGAGGUAAAAGCUCACCAAGGCUUCGAUCUUUAGCUGGUUUGAGAGGACGAUCAGCCACACUGGGACUGAGACACGGCCCAGACUCCUACGGGAGGCAGCAGUAGGGAAUAUUGGACAAUGGGGGCAACCCUGAUCCAGCAAUGCAGCGUGAGUGACGAAGGCCUUAGGGUUGUAAAACUCUUUCAUCGGUGAGGAUAAUGACAGUAGCCGAAGAAGAAGGACCGGCUAAUUCCGUGCCAGCAGCCGCGGUAAUACGGAAGGUCCUAGCGUUGUUCGGAAUUACUGGGCGUAAAGCGCAUGUAGGCGGAACAGAAAGUUAGAAGUG